This 1312-nucleotide long non-coding RNA is filed under the name Coturnix japonica (Japanese quail). Its description in RNAcentral is "lncRNA (ENSCJPG00005002785.1)". The record is from RNAcentral. Lineage: Eukaryota; Metazoa; Chordata; Aves; Galliformes; Phasianidae.
CGGGGAGGUGGCACCAUGAAGCGCUGCUGGCUGAUCUGAGCUGCUGUUGUGGUGUGGUGUUGUGUUGUUGUGUUGUUGUGUUGUGGUAUUGUGUUGUGUUGUUGUGUUGUUGUGUUGUGUUGUAGUGUUGUGCUGUUGUGAUGUUGUAGUGUUGUGUUGUUGUGUUGUAGUAUUGUAGUGUUGUGCUGUUGUGUUGUAGUGUUGUGCUGUUGUGUUGUGGUAUUGUGAUGUUGUGUUGUGUUGUUGUGUUGUUGUGUUGUGAUGUUGUUGUGGUAUUGUGUUGUGUUGUGGUGUUGUGCUGUUGUGUUGUAGUGUUGUGGUAUUGUGAUGUUGUUGUGUUGUGCUGUUGUGUUGUGUUGUUGUGUUGUGCUGUUAUUUGUUGUGAUGUUGUGUUGUUGCUAAGUUGUGUUGUUGCUAAGUUGUGUUGUUGUGUUGUGUUGUGCUGUUAUGUGUUGUUGUUGCUAAGUUGUGUUGUUGUGUUGUGUUGUUGCUCAGUUGUGUUGUGUUGUGUGGUUGUGUUGUUGUGUUGUGUUGUGUGGUUGUGUUGUUGUGUUGUGUUGUGUGGUUGUGUUGUUGUGUUGUGUUGCUGUAUUGUGUUGUUGCUAAGUUGUGUUGUGUUGCUGUGUUGUGUUCUGUUAUGUGUUGUGUUGUUGCUCAGUUGUGUUGUUGUGUUGUGUUGUUGUGUUGUUGCUCUGUUGUGUUAUUGUGUUGUGUUGUUGUGUUGUGUUGUUGUGUUGUGUUGUUGUGUUGUGUGGUUGUGUUGUGGUGUUCUGACAUUGCAGCGUUGUGAUGUUCUGUUGUGGUGUUGUUGUGUUGGUGUUGUGUUGUGUGUUAUGUUGUGUUAUGUUGUGUGUUGUGUUAUGUUGUGUUGUGUUGUGUGUUAUGUUGUUAUGUUGUGGUAUUGUGUUGUUGUGUUGUUGUGUUGUGUCAUUGUGUUGUGUUGUUGUAUUGUAUUAUUAUGCUGUUGUGUUGUUGUGUUGUUGUGUUGUGUUGUGCUGUUGUGUUGUAUUGUUGUGUUGUUGCAUUGUGUUAUUGUAUUGAUUUAUUGUUGUGUUGUUGUGUUGUUGUUCCAUCCCAUUAUAACCAUGUUGAUGCCCAUUGAGUUCUGUGUCACGGUGCUGCCGUCGCAUCCCCAACCCCCAGAAGACCCCAUUUACCACGGAGACCCCAUUAACAGGCCCAUACCCCACUUAAGACCACAUAACCCAUGUUUAACCCAUAACCCAUGGCUGACCCAUAACCCCCAUGGAGACACCUAACCCCAUUGGUGACCCUUACCCCAUAAAAGACCCCAUAACCCCAUUGGGACCAU